This 788-nucleotide ribosomal RNA is filed under the name uncultured bacterium. RNAcentral describes it as "bacterial SSU rRNA". It matches the Rfam family "Bacterial small subunit ribosomal RNA", at positions 8 to 796 of the family's 1533-position model. The record is from RNAcentral.
AGAGUUUGAUCCUGGCUCAGGAUGAACGCUAGCGGGAGGCCUAACACAUGCAAGCCGAGCGGUAGAGUUUCUUCGGAAACUUGAGAGCGGCGCACGGGUGCGUAACACGUGUGCAACCUACCUUUAUCUGGGGGAUAGCCUUUCGAAAGGAAGAUUAAUACCCCAUAAUAUAAUGAUUGGCAUCAAUUAUUAUUGAAAACUCCGGUGGAUAGAGAUGGGCACGCGCAAGAUUAGAUAGUUGGUGAGGUAACGGCUCACCAAGUCAAUGAUCUUUAGGGGUCCUGAGAGGGAGAUCCCCCACACUGGUACUGAGACACGGACCAGACUCCUACGGGAGGCAGCAGUGAGGAAUAUUGGACAAUGGGUGAGAGCCUGAUCCAGCCAUCCCGCGUGAAGGAUGACGGUCCUAUGGAUUGUAAACUUCUUUUGUACAGGGAUAAACCUACUCUCGUGAGGGUAGCUGAAGGUACUGUACGAAUAAGCACCGGCUAACUCCGUGCCAGCAGCCGCGGUAAUACGGAGGGUGCAAGCGUUAUCCGGAUUUAUUGGGUUUAAAGGGUCCGUAGGCGGACUUGUAAGUCAGUGGUGAAAUCUCAUAGCUUAACUAUGAAACUGCCAUUGAUACUGCAGGUCUUGAGUAAAUUUGAAGUGGCUGGAAUAAGUAGUGUAGCGGUGAAAUGCAUAGAUAUUACUUAGAACACCAAUUGCGAAGGCAGGUCACUAAGAUUUAACUGACGCUGAUGGACGAAAGCGUGGGGAGCGAACAGGAUUAGAUACCCUGGUAGUCC